GUUGUAUAGUUAAGUGACUAAGCGUACAAGGUGGAUGCCUUGGCAAUCAGAGGCGAAGAAGGACGUGCUAAUCUGCGAAAAGCUUGGAUGAGUUGAUAAGAAGCGUUUAAUCCAAGAUAUCCGAAUGGGGAAACCCGAUGGAUGAAGAAUCCAUCAUCGUUUAAUGAAUUCAUAGUUAAACGAAGCAAACCGGGAGAACUGAAACAUCUAAGUACCCCGAGGAAAAGAAAUCAACCGAGAUUCCGUCAGUAGCGGCGAGCGAAAGCGGAGGAGCCAUCAAAUGUUAUCUCAACGAUUAAGAGAAUCAACUGGGAAGUUGAAUCAUAGAGGGUGAUAGUCCCGUAUCUGAAAAUAGUUGGGAAGGACUAAGUUUGAGAGAAGUAGGGCGGGACACGUGAUAUCCUGUCUGAAGAUGGGGGGACCAUCCUCCAAGGCUAAAUACUCCUGAUUGACCGAUAGUGAACCAGUACUGUGAAGGAAAGGCGAAAAGAACCCCGGUGAGGGGAGUGAAAUAGAACCUGAAACCUUGUACGUACAAGCAGUGGGAGCCGCAAGGUGACUGCGUACCUUUUGUAUAAUGGGUCAGCGACUUAUAUUUUGUAGCGAGGUUAACCGAAUAGGGGAGCCGAAGGGAAACCGAGUCUUAACUGGGCGUGAAGUUGCAAGGUAUAGACCCGAAACCCGGUGAUCUAGCCAUGGGCAGGUUGAAGGUUGGGUAACACUAACUGGAGGACCGAACCGACUAAUGUUGAAAAAUUAGCGGAUGACUUGUGGCUGGGGGUGAAAGGCCAAUCAAACCGGGAGAUAGCUGGUUCUCCCCGAAAUCUAUUUAGGUAGAGCCUUGAGCGGACACCUUUGGGGGUAGAGCACUGUUUCGGCUAGGGGGCCAUCCCGGCUUACCAACCCGAUGCAAACUACGAAUACCAAAGAGUGAUACUCAGGAGACACACGGCGGGUGCUAACGUCCGUCGUGGAGAGGGAAACAACCCAGACCGCCAGCUAAGGUCCCAAAGUUUAUAUUAAGUGGGAAACGAAGUGGGAAGGCUUAGACAGCUAGGAUGUUGGCUUAGAAGCAGCCAUCAUUUAAAGAAAGCGUAAUAGCUCACUAGUCGAGUCGGCCUGCGCGGAAGAUGUAACGGGGCUCAAAUAUAGCACCGAAGCUGCGGCAUCAGAAUUUAUUCUGUUGGGUAGGGGAGCGUUGUGUAAGCGGAUGAAGGUGAAUCGAGAGGUUUGCUGGACGUAUCACAAGUGCGAAUGCUGACAUAAGUAACGAUAAAACGGGUGAAAAACCCGUUCGCCGGAAGACCAAGGUUUCCUGUCCAACGUUAAUCGGGGCAGGGUGAGUCGGCCCCUAAGGCGAGGCUGAAAAGCGUAGUCGAUGGGAAACGGGUUAAUAUUCCCGUACUUGGAUAAACUGCGAUGUGGGGACGGAGCAGGUUAGGUUAGCGUGCUGUUGGAUAUGCACGUUUAAGCGGGUAGUUGGGGUAGGUAGGCAAAUCCGCUUACCCAAUCUAAACAACGAGAGGUGAUGACGAGGCUCUAAGGAGCUGAAGUAACUGAUACCAUACUUCCAGGAAAAGCCACUAAGCUUCAGGUUUAUCUAAACCGUACUGAAAACCGACACAGGUGGUCAGGUAGAGAAUACUCAGGCGCUUGAGAGAACUCGGGUGAAGGAACUAGGCAAAAUAGCACCGUAACUUCGGGAGAAGGUGCGCCGGCGUAGGUUGUAGUGUCUUGCACACGAAGGCCGAACCGGUCGAAGAUACCAGCUGGCUGCAACUGUUUAUUAAAAACACAGCACUCUGCAAACACGAAAGUGGACGUAUAGGGUGUGAUGCCUGCCCGGUGCUGGAAGGUUAAUUGAUGGUGUAAUCGAAAGAGAAGCUCCUGAUCGAAGCCCCAGUAAACGGCGGCCGUAACUAUAACGGUCCUAAGGUAGCGAAAUUCCUUGUCGGGUAAGUUCCGACCUGCACGAAUGGCAUAAUGAUGGCCAGGCUGUCUCCACCCGAGACUCAGUGAAAUUGAAAUCGCCGUGAAGAUGCGGUGUACCCGCGGCUAGACGGAAAGACCCCGUGAACCUUUACUAUAGCUUGACACUGAACAUUGAAUUUUGAUGUGUAGGAUAGGUGGGAGACUUUGAAGUGUGAACGCCAGUUUGCAUGGAGUCGACCUUGAAAUACCACCCUUUAACGUUUGAUGUUCUAACGAAGAUUGCGAAACGCGGUCUCGGACAGUGUCUGGUGGGUAGUUUGACUGGGGCGGUCUCCUCCCAAAGCGUAACGGAGGAGCACGAAGGUUUGCUAAUCACGGUCGGACAUCGUGAGGUUAGUGCAAUGGUAUAAGCAAGCUUAACUGCGAGACGGACAAGUCGAGCAGGUACGAAAGUAGGUCAUAGUGAUCCGGUGGUUCUGCAUGGAAGGGCCAUCGCUCAACGGAUAAAAGGUACUCCGGGGAUAACAGGCUGAUACCGCCCAAGAGUUCAUAUCGACGGCGGUGUUUGGCACCUCGAUGUCGGCUCAUCACAUCCUGGGGCUGAAGUAGGUCCCAAGGGUAUGGCUGUUCGCCAUUUAAAGUGGUACGCGAGCUGGGUUUAGAACGUCGUGAGACAGUUCGGUCCCUAUCUGCCGUGGGCGUAGGAGAAUUGAUUGGGGCUGCUCCUAGUACGAGAGGACCGGAGUGGACGC
This 2684-nucleotide ribosomal RNA is filed under the name Rodentibacter ratti. RNAcentral describes it as "bacterial LSU rRNA". It matches the Rfam family "Bacterial large subunit ribosomal RNA". Lineage: Bacteria; Pseudomonadati; Pseudomonadota; Gammaproteobacteria; Pasteurellales; Pasteurellaceae. The record is from RNAcentral.